Phoenix dactylifera (date palm) is the source of this 2813-nucleotide RNA transcript. It is a transcript of the gene named ABC transporter E family member 2-like, with no coding region annotated. The record is from RefSeq and is a predicted model, not a curated record. NCBI's taxonomy places the organism in Eukaryota, Viridiplantae, Streptophyta, Magnoliopsida, Arecales, Arecaceae.
CCAAUUCCGAUAUGAGAGGUUCUAGGGUUUCUAUGUCCGCAAAGCACCCGCAGCGAGAGGUAUCCAGGCGCCUCUCUUCUUCCAUCCUUCUCACCUCCCAUUAGGGUUCGUUCGUCGUAGGUUUAUUUGACGCGGGAGCCUCCUCUCUGCUUCUCUCUGUGAGCGGGGUUCCGUUUUGGAUCGGCGCGAGGGCGAUCUGCUUGUCUAGAGUAGGGGGGAGCGAUGGCGGAUCGAUUGACUCGUAUCGCCAUAGUCAGCUCCGAUCGCUGCAAGCCCAAGAAAUGCCGCCAGGAGUGCAAGAAGAGCUGCCCCGUCGUGAAAACAGGAAAACUUUGUAUAGAAGUCACUCCGGCAUCAAAAAUUGCUUUCAUUUCUGAGGAGUUAUGCAUCGGAUGUGGUAUCUGUGUCAAGAAAUGCCCUUUUGAGGCAAUUCAGAUUAUCAACUUACCAAAGGAUUUAGAUAAAGAUACAACCCAUCGCUAUGGACCAAAUACCUUCAAGUUGCACAGGUUACCAGUUCCAAGACCUGGGCAAGUGUUGGGCCUAGUUGGAACAAAUGGUAUUGGCAAGUCGACUGCCCUUAAGGUGUUGGCUGGGAAGUUGAAACCCAACUUGGGUCGAUACAAUAAUCCUCCUGAUUGGCAGGAAAUUUUGACAUAUUUCCGAGGAUCUGAGCUCCAGAAUUAUUUUACACGCAUUCUGGAGGACAAUCUGAAGGCAAUUAUUAAGCCCCAGUAUGUUGAUCACAUUCCCAAAGCUGUUCAAGGGAAUGUCGGUCAGGUGCUUGACCAAAAAGAUGAGAGAGAUAUGAAGGCUGAACUGUGCAUUGAUCUCGAGUUGAAUCAGGUUAUUGAUCGUAAUGUGGGCGAUUUAUCUGGUGGAGAGUUGCAGAGAUUUGCAAUUGCUGUAGUUGCUAUACAAAAUGCAGAAAUUUAUAUGUUUGAUGAGCCAUCAAGUUAUCUUGAUGUAAAACAGAGGCUUAAAGCUGCACAAGUUGUUCGGUCCUUGCUCAGGCCUAAUAGCUAUGUGAUUGUCGUGGAGCACGACCUCAGUGUCCUAGAUUACUUAUCAGAUUUCAUUUGUUGCUUGUACGGGAAACCAGGAGCUUAUGGAGUUGUUACUCUACCGUUUUCUGUCCGAGAAGGAAUUAACAUUUUCUUGGCCGGUUUUGUUCCUACAGAAAAUCUCCGUUUUCGAGAUGAAUCUCUCACAUUUAAGGUUGCCGAGACUCCUCAAGAGAGUGGUGAGGAGAUCCAGGGCUACCAACGAUACAGAUACCCUACCAUGAGUAAAACACAGGGUAAUUUCAAGUUAUCUGUGAUCGGGGGUGAAUUUACUGAUUCUCAGAUCAUUGUCAUGCUGGGUGAAAAUGGAACUGGAAAGACAACAUUUAUUCGGAUGCUGGCUGGAUUGUUAAAGCCUGAUGUGGUGGAAGAUGCAGAUGUUGAAAUACCUGAAUUCAAUGUUUCAUAUAAGCCUCAAAAGAUCAGUCCAAAAUUUCAAUCUACUGUGAGACACUUGCUGCAUCAAAAAAUUCGGGAUUCAUAUAUGCAUCCUCAAUUCACAACUGAUGUCAUGAAACCUUUGCAAAUUGAGCAAUUAAUGGACCAAGAAGUUGUAAAUCUUUCUGGUGGAGAGCUGCAAAGGGUGGCAUUGUGUCUAUGUCUUGGGAAGCCUGCAGACAUAUAUCUGAUAGAUGAACCAAGUGCUUAUCUUGAUUCAGAGCAGCGUAUUGUUGCCGCAAAGGUGAUAAAGAGAUUUAUCCUUCAUGCAAAGAAAACUGCUUUCGUUGUUGAGCAUGAUUUCAUCAUGGCGACUUACUUGGCUGACAAAGUUAUUGUAUAUGAGGGGAAAGCCUCUCUGGAUUGUACAGCCAAUGCACCUCAGUCAUUGGUAUCUGGGAUGAAUCGCUUCUUAUCUCAUCUCAAUAUUACUUUUAGGCGGGAUCCCACUAACUACAGACCUCGGAUAAACAAGUUGGACUCUACCAAAGAUAGGGACCAGAAAGCUGCUGGAUCUUAUUAUUACCUUGAUGAUUGAUGUAACAAUAGAUUAUACACAGGUCUCUUUUCUCACUCAGGAAAGGGGGUCGGUUAUGGUUGUUUUGGCUAUUUUUUCAUAUUCCCUGUGUGUCAGUGAUGAAGAUGAUUCGGUUGAGAAAACAAUCUGCGACGAUACAUCGAGAUCCACCGUGAUACAUGAAGAUCUGCCAUGAUGCAUGAAGGCCAUCGAUGUCAUAUUUUCUAUCUGAUUGCAGAACUUUAGGUUUGAGUUUUUUCUUCCCCUUUUUGCAGUUCUUUAAUGUUUUAUCUCGAGAUUCCACCCCAAAGGAAAACAUUGGCUAUCGCUUUAGUUCCUAUAAUGAGGCUGUAACUUGAGUUUUAGAAUUGAAGGAGUAGUUUCAUAUAGGUUGCAACGGCCCGUUUGAUGGUGGAGUUACGCCAUCAUCUACCCGUUGAAGAUCUUGCUGGUGGUGAAACGGUUGUCUGCAUAAAUAUUGAUUGAUGCCUACGGAUUCAGAGAUUUUCUUGGUAUGAUAUCUAGCUUUUCAUCACCUUCAGCAGCUGUUGUUAUAGUUGACGAGUAGCAAGCUUUCUCCUGGUUUCAUCAUGUCACCUGGAUUCUUCUCUAUUACUCCUUUGAAUUCUUGUUGGUACUGGGGUAAAACCUUCGAGUUAUCGCCAUUUUGUGGUGUUCUUUUGAUUCUGGAAUGAUGAAGUGAGCCAUUAUAUAUGGAUAUCUUCGUUUCUGAAAAAACUAUCUUAACUGUAACAGCAGCAUUAUAUUAUGGCAGAAUUCUCUCUACCAUUGUC